Molecule: ribosomal RNA, 388 nt
Filed under: uncultured bacterium
Lineage: Bacteria
Description: bacterial SSU rRNA
Rfam family: Bacterial small subunit ribosomal RNA
Source: RNAcentral
GACGAACGCUGGCGGCGUGCUUAACACAUGCAAGUCGAGCGGUAAGGCCCUUUCGGGGGUACACGAGCGGCGAACGGGUGAGUAACACGUGGGUGACCUGCCCUCAGCUCUGGGAUAAGCCUGGGAAACCGGGUCUAAUACUGGAUAUGACUCCAUGACGCAUGUUGUGGGGUGGAAAGCCUUGUGCGGCUGAGGAUGGGCCCGCGGCCUAUCAGCUUGUUGGUGGGGNGAUGGCCUACCAAGGCGACGACGGGUAGCCGGCCUGAGAGGGCGACCGGCCACACUGGGGCUGAGACACGGCCCAGACUCCUACGGGAGGCAGCAGUGGGGAAUCUUGCGCAAUGGGCGAAAGCCUGACGCAGCGACGCCGCGUGAGGGAUGACGGCCU